Molecule: long non-coding RNA, 3038 nt
Organism: Peromyscus californicus insignis
Lineage: Eukaryota; Metazoa; Chordata; Mammalia; Rodentia; Cricetidae
Exons: 3
Source: RefSeq, a predicted model, not a curated record
GGAUUCUCCUUUAUUUCCAUCAGAAGGCUAACAUUUUACUUUUUUAAGUUUUCUUUCUGUAACACUUUAAAGGCAAACGUGAGUUUAUCAUAACUUGAUUUUUAUAAAUAAUGUAUAAAUAUGGUAGCAAAUAAUUUAAAGAAGAGUUUGUGGGAUAAAGUUUGAAUCGAUUGGGAUGAACUCAGCACUUGGGAUUUCAUUUAGCUGUUUAGAUACUCCAUUCCUUGCAUAUAUGUCUAUAAUAAGUUUUCAGAGUGUGACUUUGGCUUUGUUUUGUUGUGGGUUUGUUUGUCUCUUCCAUUGUGCUACUCUGGCUUAAGCUUUUUCAGGGGUUGGUGUUCCGAAUACACAGUGAGCUCACACUUUAAAGACAUCAAUUAGGAGUUGACAGGUAUGGAAAACUAGAGUUGUGUAAAGUAAACUAGGUUCUAGGUUAUAUAUAUGGUUUAAAGUACACUGUGUUCAGUUGGCCUUAGUGAUGUGCACGGGGCUUGUGAAACCAGUAGAGCUUUUUAGUCACCUUAGAAGUGAUCACUGUAGCCUUUCUGAUACAAUAGUCCUAACAUAUGUACGUGAAUAGCCAAAGACUAUCAAAUUCUAAAGAGUACACAUUAUAUAGAUUGGAACAUAUAGGGUAGCAUUUCUGAAGCACAGCAUGGUUAACCAGAUUAGCCAGGGUCAUAAAACAAAGUUAGUGGCAGAAUGGAAAUAGUUUGUACAGUUUGGUAGUCUUCUGUUAGAUACUGCUUUCCUUUAUGUCCAUCCCAGUUUGCUUACUGUUUCCUCCUUCCCUGUCCUUUCUAAGGUUUUCACUCUGAAAGCUAGCUUUAUAUUUUACAUUAGAGCAGUAAUCUCUCUUUAAUAAAGGGUUUCAGAGACAAUAGCCAGCACCUUCCCUUUAUUUUUUGCAUAGUUUUAUCUGGUAGCUUGUCCUACACAAAAAAUGUAUACAUUCAGCAGACCUGGUUAGUGAAUAAGAAACCCUGGCCUCAGCUAGAGGCGUGUAAUAAAUGAUAGCCUAUUCUGUGCUUCAGUUGACACAUGGGAUAGGGACAUCCUCUGGCAUCUUAAGAUAAUUAGCUGUUGAACUGAACUGAAAUUUACUUGUCCAGGAAUUCCACCUGCACUCCUACAGGGAUGUAUGAGGUGUUCUGAGAAGGACUCCUUCAGGAGACUUUUGUUCUCUGGCCUAUGAGAAUGGCUACCAGUAGAAUGUUUGCAUUGCACAGGCUGUAGAGAGUUUAAACAACCCCUAUUCUGAUGCCCCAUUAAAUACUGCUGACUUGUAAGGAAUCUUGAUUUUAUUGUAUUCAAACUUACUAGGUGGACCUUAUAGAGUAUAUUUACCUGGCUGCUAUUUGGGAUUUGGGGAACAUGAGGGGUGGGGUGAACUGUUGUUGUUUUAGGUUUCAGUCAGACAGACAUCCCUGUGCCUCAGUUCCCAGAAGCACAGCAGGCCUCUAGAAGCAUCCGUGGGAACGGCGCAGUCCUGACAUCUCCAACUUCUCCUGCUCAGGCUCAUCCCAUAUGCAGAGGUCAAAAGGGUGGGGUUUGAGAUGGGGGAAGGAAUGAGAAAGUGGAAGCGAUGUCAUUGCAGUGCUGCUGUCGACCAGCUCUUUGGUGCUGAUGUCAGUGUUUGUUAUUGUUUUAAGUUGCCAAGUCUGUACAUACAUCUAUUCGGGGAGAAAGUAAUGGGAGGGUGGAAAAAGGAAGCCGUUAUUAUUGCUAGUCUCUUCUUGGAUGUAGUUCCUUAGUGUCGAAUAGAAAAUUUCAAAUGUAGGCUCCAGUGACAAAGAAUGGGAAUAGAAGUGAAUCUUAGAUUUUUAAAAAGCAUUAGACAUCAUGCUGUGUUAAUUCCCAAUUCUCUUAGAACUAUUAUUUUUGUCAUUCCUUCCCUUCCCCCUAAUUUUCCUAUGUAUGUACUAGUUUAAGGCAAUGUACAUUCAUGAUCAGCCCUUUCUAAGGGACUUAAUGAAUAUUAACUCUUUUGUAAAACAAAAUACCCAAUGCUUAUAUGGGCAUACAAAUGCUACCCUAUUUUAAAUGUAGGUGGCGUAUGUGUUCGUGUUUUAUUGUAUUCAGAGCCAUUGGGCAAUAAGCAGUCCAGAACAUUGAAAUCUCAAGCAGCAGAGAGAUAAACGGGUAGGUGGCAGCAGAGAAAGGAACUUUGAGAGUGGCUGUUGACGUUAACCCUGCAUAGGAGAAGCAACAGCAUGUGACGUACCGAGUGGAGCAAGGAAGGGCAGAGACCAAGAAAGCUGGAUUUAGGAUGGCUGCCUCCUUCCUCUGAAUGGUGCUUUUGAAAUAACCAGUGCUAUUCUGGAUGAAGACAGAUUGGAGUUCACUUUUUAAAGUGGAAGAAUAACACAGAAUAAGUCAGUAGUUCUACCUUGUUGGCUUCAGUGUGGUUUCUUUUUCUGAAAUAAAAGCACUGACUGGAAAUGAAACACGUGGAGUGUGCCUUGUUCUUUUAGCAGCUAUUAUCUCUACGAACUCCAUCAUAUGUGCUUUUCACAUUAGUCCAGGAUACUAGACUCAACCGAGUUCUUUUAUUCUUCCCACUAGUUGUCUUCUGCAUAUGAAGUCUUACAUUCUUCUGAUGGGAAUGCUCCUUUUGGCACAUAGGCAGGUACUACAGCAGUGUUGGAUAAUUUCCUCUGGGUCCCUUUCCUUCAACACUGAAUGAUCAUGCCAACUUGCUGCUGUGGUUGUUAAUCUCUGAAAGGAAUGGUCAUAUUGUCUCAGAUUUCAAUUCUAGCACUUAAUGGUUACAUGGCCUUUGGACACAUCUCUCUCCAUGAUGUAGAGUAUUUAUUUCAAAAGAAAGUAAAUGAAUUUAGUUAGAUUAAUAUGUAAGGAUUACUAGAAUAUGGUGUAGCAUUUCACCUAUUGUUGAAUAUUUAACACUGUCAAUCUUAUGCAUUUGGUUACUGAUAACUAAUUCAAAACGACUGAAUUAUUUAAUUUGCUGAACUUCAACAUGGGGUCUUGCCAAUAUUGGCAAGCACUCUACCACUGAAAUAAACGUAUUCCUAAGA